CCUGCCGGACCCGACUGCUAUCGGAUUGGGAUUUAGCCAUGUUAGUUGAGCGUUCCUUGGCUACAGGGGACGCAGCGCACGGCUCAGUGACACGUAGUCAACCUGCCCUGAAGACGUGGACAAACCCGGGAAACUGGGGCUGAUCCACGAUAGAUGACUUCAUCUGGAAGGAGAGGUCGUCCAAAAGGCGGCGCGAGUAUGCUUCGCGUCUUCCGCUUCAGGAUGGGACUGCGGCCGAUCAGGCUGUUGGCGGGGUAAUGGCCCACCAAACCUGUAACCGGUACGGGCUUUGAGAGAAGGAGCCCGGAGAUGGACACUGAGACAAGGGUCCAGGCCCUACGGGGCGCAUCAGGCGCGAAAACUUCGCAAUGCGCGAAAGCGUGACGAGGCUAGUCCGAGUGCCUCCCGCUGAGGGGGGCUUUUCUCGGCUGUAAAUAAGCCGGGGAAUAAGGGGAGGGCAAGUCUGGUGU
This 470-nucleotide ribosomal RNA is filed under the name uncultured archaeon. RNAcentral's name for it is "bacterial SSU rRNA". It matches the Rfam family "Archaeal small subunit ribosomal RNA", at positions 13 to 458 of the family's 1478-position model. The record is from RNAcentral.